RNAcentral lists this ribosomal RNA (541 nucleotides) under uncultured bacterium. Its description in RNAcentral is "bacterial SSU rRNA". It matches the Rfam family "Archaeal small subunit ribosomal RNA", at positions 459 to 999 of the family's 1478-position model. The record is from RNAcentral. RNAcentral also lists the same sequence under 1 other name.
CAGCAGCCGCGGUAAUACCGGCGGCUCGAGUGGUGGCCACUAUUACUGGGCUUAAAGCGUCCGUAGCUUGGUUGUUAAGUCUCCUGGGAAAUCCAUCGGCUCAACCGAUGGGCGUUCAGGAGAUACUGGCAACCUAGGGACCGGGAGAGGUGAGAGGUACUCCAGGGGUAGGAGUGAAAUCCUGUAAUCCUUGGGGGACCACCUGUGGCGAAGGCGUCUCACUAGAACGGCUCCGACAGUGAGGGACGAAAGCUGGGGGAGCAAACCGGAUUAGAUACCCGGGUAGUCCCAGCUGUAAACGAUGCGCGUUAGGUGUAUCGGUGACCACGAGUCACCGAGGUGCCGAAGAGAAAUCGUGAAACGUGCCGCCUGGGAAGUACGGUCGCAAGGCUGAAACUUAAAGGAAUUGGCGGGGGAGCACCACAACAGGUGGAGCCUGCGGUUUAAUCGGACUCAACGCCGGGAAGCUCACCGGAUAAGACAGCUGAAUGAUAGCCGGGUUGAAGACUCUGCUUGACUAGCUGAGAGGAGGUGCAUGGCC